AUGUGUGGGAUUGAUUUUGACGAGGCAAGUUGUUCAUAUCGUUCUUGGCUUCUUGGUCCUGUUUAUUCACGUUUUCCUACCAUAGCUUCCAUUUUUCCGCCUCAACUACUUCUAUUUGAUUGGUUCCAGGACCCAAAAUCAAUGGUUAUUGAACAAAUUAAUUACGACUCCACUGAGAUUGAAGGUGAUCACACCUUGAUUGCUGGUGAUGAUAUGAUUCAGUCAAGAUGUGAUGAUGGUAGCUUUAUGGGCGAGAGUAUGUAUGAUGAUGGUAGCUUGGUACAAAGAAGGAGCUGUUGA
This 300-nucleotide ribosomal RNA is filed under the name Triticum aestivum (bread wheat). RNAcentral describes it as "partial small subunit ribosomal RNA". Lineage: Eukaryota; Viridiplantae; Streptophyta; Magnoliopsida; Poales; Poaceae. The record is from RNAcentral.